RNAcentral lists this ribosomal RNA (396 nucleotides) under uncultured bacterium. Its description in RNAcentral is "partial 16S ribosomal RNA". It matches the Rfam family "Bacterial small subunit ribosomal RNA", at positions 523 to 918 of the family's 1533-position model. The record is from RNAcentral.
AUACGUAGGUGGCAAGCGUUGUCCGGAAUUAUUGGGCGUAAAGCGCAUGUAGGCGGUUUGGUAAGUCGGUCGUGAAAAUGCGGUGCUUAACGCCGUAUGGCGAUUGAAACUGCUGAACUUGAGUGCAGGAGAGGAAAGGGGAACUCCCAGUGUAGCGGUGAAAUGCGUAGAUAUUGGGAAGAACACCGGUGGCGAAGGCGCCUUUCUGGACUGUGUCUGACGCUAGGAUGCGAAAGCCAGGGUAGCGAACGGGAUUAGAUACCCCGGUAGUCCUGGCCGUAAACGAUGGGUACUAGGUGUGGGAGGUAUCGACUCCUUCCGUGCCGGAGUUAACGCAAUAAGUACCCCGCCUGGGGAGUACGGCCGCAAGGCUUAAACUCAAAUGAAUUGACGGGG